ACUAAAUAGAUACCCGGGUAGUCCACGCCGUAAACGUUGGGCGCUAGGUGUGGGGCUCUUUCCACGAGUUCCGUGCCGCAGCAAAAACGCAUUAAGCGCCCCGCCUGGGGAGUACGGCCGCAAGGCUAAACUCAAAGGAAUUGACGGGGGCCCGCACAAGCGGCGGAGCAUGCGGAUUAAUUCGAUGCAACGCGAAGAACCUUACCAAGGCUUGACAUACGCAGAAAACCGGCAGAGAUGUCGGGUCCGUAAGGGCUGUGUACAGGUGGUGCAUGGUUGUCGUCAGCUCGUGUCGUGAGAUGUUGGGUUAAGUCCCGCAACGAGCGCAACCCUCGUUCCAUGUUGCCAGCACGUAAUGGUGGGGACUCAUGGGAGACUGCCGGGGUCAACUCGGAGGAAGGUGGGGAUGACGUCAAAUCAUCAUGCCCCUUAUGUCUUGGGCUUCACGCAUGCUACAAUGGCCAGUACAAAGGGCUGCGAGACCGUAAGGUGAGCGAAUCCCAAAAGCUGGUCUCAGUUCGGAUCGGGGUCUGCAACU
Molecule: ribosomal RNA, 538 nt
Filed under: uncultured bacterium
Lineage: Bacteria
Description: bacterial SSU rRNA
Rfam family: Bacterial small subunit ribosomal RNA
Source: RNAcentral